CUGAAAUUCACUCCCCUUGUUACCUGUGGGAUUAAUAUUCUUUAAAUCCUGGGGAGAGGGACCAGGAGAGGAGAGAGACUCUGGCCAGACUACUGAUAAGAAGACCGUACAUCAUUUUUUAAGAAACUGAAAAGACUGCUGUUUUGGACUACAACUCAUAGACCCACUAUAAUGUUGGAGAAUUCUGAAAUUCAUUAUUCAGGUGUGGUUGGUGGGAAUAUGGAACAGGGCCUUCUCCACCAGUGCUUCCAGAAUCUGCUACUCCCUCCCACAGGACGCCAUAGUGGCCCCAUCUUUGCUGUCCUUCUGCAAG
Non-coding RNA from Pogona vitticeps (central bearded dragon), 313 nucleotides. The record is from RefSeq and is a predicted model, not a curated record. NCBI's taxonomy places the organism in Eukaryota, Metazoa, Chordata, Lepidosauria, Squamata, Agamidae.